This 746-nucleotide ribosomal RNA is filed under the name uncultured bacterium. Its description in RNAcentral is "bacterial SSU rRNA". It matches the Rfam family "Bacterial small subunit ribosomal RNA", at positions 66 to 809 of the family's 1533-position model. The record is from RNAcentral.
ACGGAGCUAUUUUGAUAGAACCCUUCGGGGGACAUUGGCUUAGCUUAGUGGCGAACGGGUGAGUAACACGUGAGGAACCUACCUUUCAGAGGGGGACAACAGUUGGAAACGACUGCUAAUACCGCAUAAGACCACGAUACGGCAUCGUAUUGAGGUCAAAGGAGCAAUCCGCUGAGAGAUGGCCUCGCGUCCGAUUAGCUAGAUGGUGAGGUAACGGCCCACCAUGGCGACGAUCGGUAGCCGGACUGAGAGGUUGAACGGCCACAUUGGGACUGAGACACGGCCCAGACUCCUACGGGAGGCAGCAGUGGGGAAUAUUGCACAAUGGAGGAAACUCUGAUGCAGCGACGCCGCGUGAGGGAAGAAGGUCUUCGGAUUGUAAACCUCUGUUGUCAGGGACGAUAAUGACGGUACCUGACGAGGAAGCCACGGCUAACUACGUGCCAGCAGCCGCGGUAAAACGUAGGUGGCAAGCGUUGUCCGGAAUUACUGGGUGUAAAGGGAGCGCAGGCGGAUUUGCAAGUUGGAAGUGAAACUCAUGGGCUCAACCCAUGAACUGCUUUCAAAACUGCAGAUCUUGAGUGGUGUAGAGGUAGGCGGAAUUCCCGGUGUAGCGGUGGAAUGCGUAGAUAUCGGGAGGAACACCAGUGGCGAAGGCGGCCUACUGGGCACUAACUGACGCUGAGGCUCGAAAGCAUGGGUAGCAAACAGGAUUAGAUACCCUGGUAGUCCAUGCCCGUAAACGA